Molecule: ribosomal RNA, 118 nt
Filed under: Microtus ochrogaster (prairie vole)
Lineage: Eukaryota; Metazoa; Chordata; Mammalia; Rodentia; Cricetidae
Source: RNAcentral
GUCUAUGAUUAUAUCACUCUGAAUGUGCCCAAUCUCAUCUAAUCUUAGAAGCGAAGCAGGGUGGGGUCUGGUUGGUACUUGGAUGAGUGGAUAUGAAAGAAGAUGAGGAACGUGAUCA